This 968-nucleotide ribosomal RNA is filed under the name Triticum aestivum (bread wheat). RNAcentral's name for it is "partial small subunit ribosomal RNA". Lineage: Eukaryota; Viridiplantae; Streptophyta; Magnoliopsida; Poales; Poaceae. The record is from RNAcentral.
CUGCCACACCCAUGAUUCCUAUCUCCUUCUCCCCCGUGCUCCCUCUUCUCUCAUUCUCUCCAUCUCCACGAGCAUUAGCACGCCGCUAGCCAGCACCCUCCUCCCGCCUUCUCCCCUGAGCAGCCACACGCCGCUGGCCAACGCCGCCCGCCCAUCCGGCGCCCCCGUCCAGCGCCUACCCGUCCGGCGCCCCCGUCCUGUGCCCUCCUGUCCCUGAGCAGCCGCGUGCCAUGGCCAGCACCGGCGAGCCCCGUCCGUCCACCGCCCAGCCCAGCGCCCUCCCGCCCAUCCGUCCGCCACACCACCAGCGCCGCGUGAAGCUCUACCUCGCGAGCUCGGCCUCACCGGUCGGCCGUGCGCACCCCAGCUCCUCUGGUCGCGCACCCGAAUCCGUCCACACCCCGAGCUCCUCCUCACCUGCCGGUCCUGCGCUCCGCCUCACGAGCUCCGCCGCUAGAGCAGCCUGGCGCUCCGCCGGUUGAGCGCCGGCCAUCCCCGACCUCCCUCGCGUGCCUCUCCGUGGCGCCGGAGCGAGUCAUCUCCUGAGCGUGGCCGAGCAGGGCCGGGCGGCGGGGUGGCGAGCAGAGCACGACAGAGAGGCAAGACGAGCGUCGGGCUGGACAGCGGGGCGGGCAGAGCACCGGAGUGGAGAAGAAGGACCCGAUUGCUUUUCAGUUUUACUUGUUAGGGUCCUUUGUGUUAAUUUCCAGGACUAUUCUAUAACUCUAGUUUUGGUUCGGGCUCAUAUUUGCAUAUUGUACUCCACUAACGUUGAAUGAACGGCACUACACACGGAUGGGCCUUUCCCUGUUAAAAAAGAAGAAGAAAGAUAGGUAUUGCACUCGCACGAGUUGACCGCAUCGCUCGGGAACAAUGCUGUUGUGGGUGUGUGUGUGUGUUUUUUAAAAAAAUAACUUCUUUGCUGUCUAUGAUAUAAGAGGCUGACGGCAAAGACGCAAAUAGCUGAC